Molecule: ribosomal RNA, 465 nt
Filed under: Vreelandella stevensii
Lineage: Bacteria; Pseudomonadati; Pseudomonadota; Gammaproteobacteria; Oceanospirillales; Halomonadaceae
Description: partial 16S ribosomal RNA
Rfam family: Bacterial small subunit ribosomal RNA
Source: RNAcentral
CCUACGGGAGGCUGCAGUGGGGAAUAUUGGACAAUGGGGGCAACCCUGAUCCAGCCAUGCCGCGUGUGUGAAGAAGGCCCUCGGGUUGUAAAGCACUUUCAGUGAGGAAGAACGCCUGGUGGUUAAUACCCAUCAGGAAAGACAUCACUCACAGAAGAAGCACCGGCUAACUCCGUGCCAGCAGCCGCGGUAAUACGGAGGGUGCGAGCGUUAAUCGGAAUUACUGGGCGUAAAGCGCGCGUAGGUGGCUUGAUAAGCCGGUUGUGAAAGCCCCGGGCUCAACCUGGGAACGGCAUCCGGAACUGUCAAGCUAGAGUGCAGGAGAGGAAGGUAGAAUUCCCGGUGUAGCGGUGAAAUGCGUAGAGAUCGGGAGGAAUACCAGUGGCGAAGGCGGCCUUCUGGACUGACACCGACACUGAGGUGCGAAAGCGUGGGUAGCAAACAGGAUUAGAUACCCCUGUAGUC